This 309-nucleotide ribosomal RNA is filed under the name uncultured bacterium. Its description in RNAcentral is "bacterial SSU rRNA". It matches the Rfam family "Bacterial small subunit ribosomal RNA", at positions 211 to 507 of the family's 1533-position model. The record is from RNAcentral.
CCUUGCGCUCUUUGAGCGGCCGAUGUCAGAUUAGCUAGUUGGUGAGGUAGAGGCUUACCAAGGCGACGAUCUGUAGGCGGGUCUGAGAGGAUGAUCCGCCACACUGGAACUGAGACACGGUCCAGACUCCGUACGGGAGGCAGCAGGUGGGUAAGUUUUGGACAAGUGGGGGCAACCCUGAUCCAGCCAUGCCGCGUGAGUGAAGAAGGCCUUCGGGUUGUAAAGCUCUUUCGGCCGGGAAGAAAUCGCAUGGGUGAAUACCCUGUGUGGAUGACGGUACCGGAACAAGAAGCACCGGCUAACUACGUG